AUGCUUAUAGGAAUGGGAAGAACAUGUGUGUUUGUUCAUCAUGGGGACAAAGACGCAUUCUUGAAAGGCAAUACUGAACCGGACCCGGAUGAGCUUGACAUGGUGUUUGAUAGUAGUCCUAGCUAUGCGGAGCUCUUGCAACAAGUGAGGAAAGAUUUGAAUUGGAUGGACCCUAGUGAUAUCGUUGAGUUGGAGGGAAGGCAUAAUGUAGGUUUUGGAAUGCACAUCCGUUGGAAGACAAUGCGUGUCAACUCGGAGCAACGUUGGGUUGCAUACAAGGAAACGGUGGCCGAAUCACUUGACAAGGCUCUUGAGUUAUUUGCAACGAAGAAGGUUGAUUCAAGUUUGCAUUUGGACUUGAACCGGAACCCCUCCCCUUUGGUUGAUAGUAGCCCCCCACCCUUGAAGCGAGAUGAAAUUGUUGAACCUCUUUUGACCCAAGAAGUGGGGCCAACAUUGAGUCUGUUUACAAACAACCAAGAUGAAGCUUUGCAAGAGGACAAUGAUGAGUAUGCGGACGAUGACAAUGAAGUUGAUCUCCAUGACAACAAUGUGGGUGAUCUCGACAAAUAUCAUUUGCAAGAGACAAUGGACCAUUCCAUCCCUUUUCCCGUGCAUAUGCAUCGGACUCGGAUGACGAUGGUCCCGAUGAAUAAGUUGAUGCGGAGGGGUUCACGGUGA
This 681-nucleotide ribosomal RNA is filed under the name Triticum aestivum (bread wheat). Its description in RNAcentral is "partial small subunit ribosomal RNA". The record is from RNAcentral. Lineage: Eukaryota; Viridiplantae; Streptophyta; Magnoliopsida; Poales; Poaceae.